Varroa destructor (honeybee mite) is the source of this 867-nucleotide long non-coding RNA. RefSeq lists it as uncharacterized. NCBI's taxonomy places the organism in Eukaryota, Metazoa, Arthropoda, Arachnida, Mesostigmata, Varroidae. The record is from RefSeq and is a predicted model, not a curated record.
CAAAAACGAAAGGAAGGGUAAUUUGCCAAAUUGAGAGGCAUAUACAUUCAUUACCAACAAUUCAGCUGGAGCCCUCAAUGAAUUGACAUGUACCUGAUUUUACUACAAAUCAUGCAGUAAAACGUGUGGAUUCACUAAGAGGUGCGAACGGCAGCUUCGAGUCAAGUUUCGUCACGCAACAGUCUAUGAAAAGGACGUUCAAUCCUUUCUCUGGAUGUAUCAGUAAAAGGACUAAAGCUGGAAAAGCCUGGAUAUAUUGAUAAAUGUUUGGGAAUAACAAGACGGUCAACAAAUCAAGCUCGAUCGACUACACGAUGCCAGUUGAUCGGGGAAGCCCAACUAGCAAGACAAAAUUGCCGUUCUCCACGACAGCGCUAGACCACACAUAGCAAAGCCCGUUUCUGAGAGCGCCUGUAUGGAAGAUACUUUAGCAUUUAUUAAUUUUUCGAUGUGUUUGGCGCCAUCAGGUUUACUAAAGGAGGUCGUUUUCAGACAACCUCUAAUUUACUAUAUGCAUUCAUCGUCAACUCAGUGGACCUCUCCAACUGUGUGUAUACAUAAGUUACAGAUAUAUCCUUCAGGUAACGAUAGCGUGACAAGGUCAAAGACAAAAACAGCGGUGGUCCAGAAAAAAGUUGCAGCUUUUUCUUAAAGCUUCUGCCAAAUUUUUUUCAAAGGUGAUUGACAUUUCGCGAAAUAAUUAAAAAAAAAGCGCACUGAAGUAUCCGUAUCCAUUACAGUAAUUUCACUUGAAAAAUACGUUUAAUUUCAUCCAUUUUUGUAGUAACACCAGAAAAAUUAGCGCACUAGGUCACACAUCACGAACGCACAGAGCGGCGUGCACUUGCAUAUCGGUAAACACUGAGA